AAAGGAGGAAAAGGAAUCUCUCAGGGAAGUGAAACAAUUCCUGAAACAAUGCUCUUUCAACUUGUCACUUCCAGA
Molecule: ribosomal RNA, 75 nt
Filed under: Percolomonas cosmopolitus
Lineage: Eukaryota; Heterolobosea; Eutetramitea; Percolomonadida; Percolomonadidae
Description: partial Bacterial large subunit ribosomal RNA
Source: RNAcentral